RNAcentral lists this ribosomal RNA (421 nucleotides) under uncultured bacterium. RNAcentral's name for it is "bacterial SSU rRNA". It matches the Rfam family "Bacterial small subunit ribosomal RNA", at positions 355 to 774 of the family's 1533-position model. The record is from RNAcentral.
UAAGGAAUAUUGGUCAAUGGACGCAAGUCUGAACCAGCCAUGCCGCGUGAAGGAUGAAGGUCCUCUGGAUUGUAAACUUCUUUUAUCUGGGACGAAAACGGGAUUUUUAUCUCAAUUGACGGUACCAGAGGAAUAAGCACCGGCUAACUCCGUGCCAGCAGCCGCGGUAAUACGGAGGGUGCGAGCGUUAUCCGGAUUUACUGGGUUUAAAGGGUGCGUAGGUGGGCUUAUAAGUCAGUGGUGAAAUCUCCGAGCUUAACUUGGAAGCUGCCGUUGAUACUAUAGGUCUUGAAUUAUCUGGAGGUAAGCGGAAUAUGUCAUGUAGCGGUGAAAUGCUUAGAUAUGACAUAGAACACCAAGUGCGAAGGCAGCUUACUACAUAUAAAUUGACGCUGAGGCACGAAAGCGUGGGGAUCAAACA